GGACGAACGCUGGCGGCGUGCUUACCACAUGCAAGUCGAACGGAAAGGCCCUGCUUGCAGGGUACUCGAGUGGCGAACGGGUGAGUAACACGUGGGUGAUCUGCCCUGCACUUCGGGAUAAGCCUGGGAAACUGGGUCUAAUACCGGAUAGGAGCCAUUUUUAGUGUGAUGGUUGGAAAGUUUUUUCGGUGUAGGAUGAGCUCGCGGCCUAUCAGCUUGUUGGUGGGGUAAUGGCCUACCAAGGCGGCGACGGGUAGCCGGCCUGAGAGGGUGGACGGCCACAUUGGGACUGAGAUACGGCCCAGACUCCUACGGGAGGCAGCAGUGGGGAAUAUUGCACAAUGGGCGCAAGCCUGAUGCAGCGACGCCGCGUGGGGGAUGACGGCCUACGGGUUGUAAACUCCUUUCGCUAGGGACGAAGCUUUUGUGACGGUACCUAGAUAAGAAGCACCGGCUAACUACGUG
Molecule: ribosomal RNA, 465 nt
Filed under: uncultured bacterium
Lineage: Bacteria
Description: partial 16S ribosomal RNA
Rfam family: Bacterial small subunit ribosomal RNA
Source: RNAcentral